This 1924-nucleotide long non-coding RNA is filed under the name Homo sapiens (human). RNAcentral describes it as "HSALNT0001271". Lineage: Eukaryota; Metazoa; Chordata; Mammalia; Primates; Hominidae. The record is from RNAcentral.
UGCACCACCACACCCUGCUGAUUUUUUUGUAUUUUUAGUAGAGACAAGGUUUCACCAUGUUGGUCAGCCUGGUCUCAAACUGACCUGAGGUGAUCCACCCACCUCAACCUCCCAAAGUGCUGGGAUUACAGGCAUCGGCCACCGUGCCCAGCCAAACAUACAUGUUUUUAUGUUGUUGUUCUGGCUAUCUAGAGGAUUGGGAGCAGCAAUAGCCCAAUCACAGCGAGCACACCUGCUAUCCAGAUCUUGGUUUCUAAACACCAUUCUCCACCAAAAGCUCCUUUGAGAAACGGCUGAUUCCAGACUAGACAGGGGAAGCACAGGGUGGGCCUAGAACAUGUACCCAUCUCAGCAAAAAAGGAAGUGCUCAAAGAAUGACUGAGAUGUGUCAAAAGGAUACAGAAGUCAGCUUGAGGUGGUCACUGAAUAUGGGAGAAUUUGAGUAUUAAAAUAAAGAUGGCAACAGAUUAUAACCUAGUGGAUAAAAUAGAAAGCCAUGAAUCCAUACUGAACACAUGCAGAAUUUGAUGAGGAAAGGGAUUUUUUUUAGUAUCUCCCUCAAGAUACAUAUUCAUUAAGAGGCAAAAAGAGCAACUUUACAGUGUAGAAGCUGAGCCAACAAAUGCCACCGCAUGUGUUAUAAUACAAUAAGAAGACCGCACUACUCCUGAGCUAUUCCCACUAAAGAUGCAUCACUUGGCCCUAACCGUGAGGGCACAUCAGAGAAAUGAAAACCAAAGUGCAGGCUACAAAGCAAGUGUCCUAUUGAAACCACCUUUGCAAAAUUAUAACUCAGGAAAUUAUGACACUGGAAGAAAUCAGAUCUAACCAACUCCAUCUUGCUUCUAACCUUUAAGCUGUCCUUGUUCAUCCCUGGGCAUAGGCCAAACUAACUUUGGGAAGGAAUUCAAUUCGUGGUUGGACUCUGAAACAAAAUUGAUAAAACCCCUUUCCCAAAAAGACCCCCUUCUUGCCUGGGACCACUCAGCCUUUGCAGGACUAACAAAUUAGCUACAAGAUUAGAAAUUACUGGCCAGGCGCAGUGGCUCAUGCCUGUAAUCCCAGCACGUUGGGAGGCCAAGGCAGGCAGAUCACCUGAGUGCUUGAGAUAUUUUGCAAACCCUGCACUCAGUGGACCAGCUACCACCACCCAGACCAGUAAUCUGGCUCAACCAGUUCUGCCAUCCCACCCAAGAACAGAAAACAGCAAGAAAAACUCACUUCGACCCCCUGUGAUUCCAUCUCCAUUGCACUCUCCACUUCCCAAGCCCCUACCCACCAAAUUAUCUUUAAAAACUUUAAUCGCCAAAUGCUCAGGGAGACUGAUUUGAGUAUUAACAAAACUCUGGUCUCCCACACAGUCGACUCUGUGUGAAUUACGCUUUCUCCAUUGUCCAUUGCAACUCCCCUGUCAUGAUCAACCAGCUCUGUCUAGGCAGCGGGCAAGGUGAACCCACUGGACUGUUAAACUAUUAUCUCCAAAAAUGGCAAGGUCAUGUAGGUCGAGGGAAGACUAAAGAAGAAGACGUGACAAUUCAAUGCAAUAUGUGACCAUGGAUCUGGUCCUUUCACCAUAAAGGACAUUAUUGGAACAACUGGCAACACUUGGGUGGGGUCUGAGGGUUCAGUGGUGGCAAUGAGCCUGUGCUACCUUCCCGACGUCAAUGGCUGAGCAGCAGUUAUAUCAGAGCCGUUCGAACCAGAGCGACUCCAUCUUAAAUAGGAGCUGAGUAAAAUAAGGCUGAGACCUACUGGGCUGCAUUCCCAGAUGGUAAUGGCAUUCUAAUUUACAGGAUGAGAUAGGAGGUCGGCACAAGAUACAGGUCAUAAAGAUAUUGCUGAAAAAACAGGUUGCAGUAAAGAAGCUGGCUAAAACCCACCAAAAACCAAGAUGGUGCCGAGAGUGACCUCUGGUCAUCCUCAC